GUUCCGUAGGUGAACCUGCGGAAGGAUCAUUCACAGUAAGUGUAUUAUGGCACUUCUUAAACAAUCCAUAUCCACCUGGUGUGCACCGUUCUGAGACCCUCUCUCGUUAUCUGUUAUGUUACCGAAGGGGGAACCUCUACAACUUACCAACCUCACCUUUAACUUAUUUGUCUGAACAUUUGUUAUCACGAAUUUACUUAAUUCGAAAAUACAACUUUCAACAACGGAUCUCUUGGCUCUC
RNAcentral lists this unclassified non-coding RNA (241 nucleotides) under plant metagenome. Its description in RNAcentral is "partial contains small subunit ribosomal RNA, internal transcribed spacer 1, and 5.8S ribosomal RNA". The record is from RNAcentral.